UACGUAGGGUGCAAGCGUUGUCCGGAAUUAUUGGGCGUAAAGAGCUCGUAGGCGGUUUGUUGCGUCGGCUGUGAAAUCCCGAGGCUCAACCUCGGGUCUGCAGUCGAUACGAGCAAACUAGAGUGUUGCAGGGGAGACUGGAAUUCCCGGUGUAGCGGUGAAAUGCGCAGAUAUCAGGAGGAACACCGGUGGCGAAGGCGGGUCUCUGGGCAACAACUGACGCUGAGGAGCGAAAGCGUGGGGAGCGAACAGG
RNAcentral lists this ribosomal RNA (253 nucleotides) under uncultured bacterium. RNAcentral's name for it is "partial 16S ribosomal RNA". It matches the Rfam family "Bacterial small subunit ribosomal RNA", at positions 524 to 776 of the family's 1533-position model. The record is from RNAcentral.